Molecule: ribosomal RNA, 460 nt
Filed under: Pseudomonas sp.
Lineage: Bacteria; Pseudomonadati; Pseudomonadota; Gammaproteobacteria; Pseudomonadales; Pseudomonadaceae
Description: bacterial SSU rRNA
Rfam family: Bacterial small subunit ribosomal RNA
Source: RNAcentral
UGCAGUCCGAGCGGAUGACGGGAGCUUGCUCCUUGAUUCAGCGGCGGACGGGUGAGUAAUGCCUAGGAAUCUGCCUGGUAGUGGGGGACAACGUUUCGAAAGGAACGCUAAUACCGCAUACGUCCUACGGGAGAAAGCAGGGGACCUUCGGGCCUUGCGCUAUCAGAUGAGCCUAGGUCGGAUUAGCUUGUUGGUGAGGUAAUGGCUCACCAAGGCGACGAUCCGUAACUGGUCUGAGAGGAUGAUCAGUCACACUGGAACUGAGACACGGUCCAGACUCCUACGGGAGGCAGCAGUGGGGAAUAUUGGACAAUGGGCGAAAGCCUGAUCCAGCCAUGCCGCGUGUGUGAAGAAGGUCUUCGGAUUGUAAAGCACUUUAAGUUGGGAGGAAGGGCAGUAAGUUAAUACCUUGCUGUUUUGACGUUACCGACAGAAUAAGCACCGGCUAACUCUGUGCCAC